RNAcentral lists this ribosomal RNA (259 nucleotides) under uncultured bacterium. RNAcentral describes it as "partial 16S ribosomal RNA". It matches the Rfam family "Bacterial small subunit ribosomal RNA", at positions 524 to 777 of the family's 1533-position model. The record is from RNAcentral.
UACGGGGGGAAGCAAGCGUUGUUCGGAUUUACUGGGCGUAAAGGGCGCGUAGGCGGCCACAACAAGUCACUUGUGAAAUCUCCGGGCUUAACCCGGUAGCGGCCAAGUGAUACUGUUGGGCUAGAGUGCGGAAGGGGCAACUGGAAUUCUCGGUGGUAGCGGUGAAAUGCGUAGAUAUCGAGAGGAACACCGGUGGCGAAGGCGGGUCUCUGGGCAAUAACUGACGCUGAGGAGCGAAAGCAUGGGGGAGCGAACAGGG